This 1011-nucleotide ribosomal RNA is filed under the name Triticum aestivum (bread wheat). Its description in RNAcentral is "partial small subunit ribosomal RNA". The record is from RNAcentral. Lineage: Eukaryota; Viridiplantae; Streptophyta; Magnoliopsida; Poales; Poaceae.
AUGGGGAGAAUCACACCAAAUCUUAUUUGGUGUCAGAUAUGGAAGUUAUCCUGCCCAACAAAAGUAAAAAGAAUUAUAUGGUGUACAUUACAUGGUACUCUCCCAUGCCGGGUAACACUCGCUAAUAGACACAUGAAGGUCUCGCCCUCUUGCCCGACUUGCUCUCGGGGUUUAGAAGAUAUGAAACACAUGAUUUUCCUCUGUAGUAAAGCAAAGGAGGUUUAGAAGAGACUAAGGAUGGAUGUGAUUAUUGAUAAAGCUUGUGAGGUUGACCUUGCCGGGGAGGCAAUAUUGGAAUACCUUCUACUUCUUCCAGACCAAGACUUGAGUAUUAUGGGGUACCAAAAUGUACGUGAAAUGAUUGCUAUUUCAGCAUGGUACCUAUGAUGGGAAAGAAGAAAGUUAGUGCAUAAGGAAUUAACCCAGAAUGCAAAUCAGAUAGUAAUGGGGAUCAUAGCUCUCACAUCCAACUUUGUAAAUGCAUCAUCUCCAAAGGCGGCGAUGAAAAAGGGGGGCUGGUACUGUCCCCCUAGGGGUUUUGUGAAACUUAAUGUUGAUGCCUCGUUUAAUCAUGAUAUGUUGAAGGGUACGAUGAGGGCAGUCUUAAGAGACCAUAAAGGUAGGUUCAUUGCAGGAGGAAAUGGAAAGAUUGACUAUUGUGCGGAUGUUUUGAUGGCUGAAGGUUUAGCUCUCAAGUUUGGCCUAACAAUAGCGCAAAGGGCGGGAUGUAACCGUCUAAUCAUCAACUCAGACAACAUGGAGGUGGUUGAGACCAUGCAUGAAGGAGGACAAUCAACGGGGGCGGCGGCGACAGUUUUCGAAGACUGUUGUCACUAUGCUUGUGAUUUUGUCACGACUAGAUUCGAACAUUGUAAUAGAGAGGCAAAUAAAGUACCUCAUGAACUUGCUAGAUUAGCUAGAUUUUCUUCGACUUUCGACUGGUUCGAGGAACCUUCAAAUGAAAUAAUAAUGAUCCUUACAAACGAUGUACUGGUUAUUUCAAAUGAAUAA